UACGUAGGGACCGAGCGUUGUCCGGAAUCAUUGGGCGUAAAGAGCGUGUAGGCGGCUUGCUAAGUCUUGCGUGAAAUCUCGGGGCUCAACCCCGAGCGGUCGUGGGAAACUGGCAGGCUAGAGUGCGGGAGAGGAGAAUGGAAUUCCUGGUGUAGCGGUGAAAUGCGCAGAUAUCAGGAAGAACACCCGUGGCGAAGGCGGUUCUCUGGAACGCAACUGACGCUGAGACGCGAAGCGUGGGGAGCAAACAGG
Molecule: ribosomal RNA, 252 nt
Filed under: uncultured bacterium
Lineage: Bacteria
Description: partial 16S ribosomal RNA
Rfam family: Bacterial small subunit ribosomal RNA
Source: RNAcentral